Molecule: small RNA, 517 nt
Filed under: Histoplasma capsulatum var. duboisii H88
Lineage: Eukaryota; Fungi; Ascomycota; Eurotiomycetes; Onygenales; Ajellomycetaceae
Description: Histoplasma capsulatum H88 hypothetical RNA
Source: RNAcentral
CCUCAUAGGUUCAACGGUGAUCUUUCCCCUCAUUUUCGGAAUCUUGCAGUUCCAUCUGGCUUAAAUUAUCGAAUACAGCUUAAAAAAAAUUGUGAUACAGAAGUGUGAAGCGAAACUCAAUCUCCAUGAAACUUCGCUUGCUCCUGGCGGCAGGUUGCCAUUUUGCUGCAAUGUCACUUGGUGACUCUGAACCAACGGCUGCAGUGAUAUUACCUGAACAUAAAGCCAUUGUUGAUGUGUUGGCCGGUUAUGGUGUGGAUGUGUUUGAACUCGUCGAUCCAUCCGAGCUUGCACAAUCAACAAGCACGUACUUCUUCGUUCCAGCCAUUACAUGCCGCCUGGUCUCCGAAAUUUUCCCUCAACAAGUUUUCCUGAGGAGCACGCCGGAGUACACGGAGUGGCGUAAUCUCUUCUGGUCACAGCAGCAAUCCGAAUCGAAACCUGCCUGUAUCUUGCAGCCAACUUCGAGCCGCCAGGUUGCCAUAGCUUUAUUGAUAGCUCGCCUAUGGAAUUGCCC